Molecule: transfer RNA, 73 nt
Filed under: Saprospiraceae bacterium
Lineage: Bacteria; Pseudomonadati; Bacteroidota; Saprospiria; Saprospirales; Saprospiraceae
Also listed under: 1 other name
Description: tRNA-Lys
Rfam family: tRNA
About the family: Transfer RNA (tRNA) molecules are approximately 80 nucleotides in length.
Source: RNAcentral
GAUUCGGUAGCUCAGCUGGUAGAGCAAUACACUUUUAAUGUAUGGGCCCUGGGUUCGAAUCCCAGCCGAAUCA